AGUCACUGACAUUAGAUACCCGCGUAGUCCAGGGUGUAAACGCUGCAGACUUGGUGUUGGAAGUCCUUUGGGGGCAUUCAGUGCCGGAGAGAAGUUGUUAAGUCUGCUACUUGGGAGUACGUCCGCAAGGAUAGAAACUUAAAGGAAUUGGCGGGGGAGCACCACAACGGGUGGAGCCUGCGGUUUAAUUGGACUCAACGCCGGAAAUCUCACCGGAUAGGACAGACAUAUGAUAGUCGGGCUGAAGACUCUACUUGAUGAUCUG
Molecule: ribosomal RNA, 265 nt
Filed under: uncultured archaeon
Lineage: Archaea
Description: partial 16S ribosomal RNA
Rfam family: Archaeal small subunit ribosomal RNA
Source: RNAcentral